GAUGAACGCUGGCGGCGUGCCUAAUACAUGCAAGUCGAGCGAACGGACGAGAAGCUUGCUUUUCUGAUGUUAGCGGCGGACGGGUGAGUAACACGUGGAUAACCUACCUAUAAGACUGGGAUAACUUCGGGAAACCGGAGCUAAUACCGGAUAAUAUUUUGAACCGCAUGGUUCAAAAGUGAAAGACGGUCUUGCUGUCACUUAUAGAUGGAUCCGCGCUGCAUUAGCUAGUUGGUAAGGUAACGGCUUACCAAGGCAACGAUGCAUAGCCGACAUGAGAGGGUGAUCGGCCACACUGGAACUGAGACACGGUCCAGACUCCUACGGGAGGCAGCAGUAGGGAAUCUUCCGCAAUGGGCGAAAGCCUGACGGAGCAACGCCGCGUGAGUGAUGAAGGUCUUCGGAUCGUACAACUCUGUUAUUAGGGAAGAACAUAUGUGUAAGUAACUGUGCACAUCUUGACGGUACCUAAUCAGAAAGCCACGGCUAACUACGUG
Molecule: ribosomal RNA, 497 nt
Filed under: uncultured bacterium
Lineage: Bacteria
Description: partial 16S ribosomal RNA
Rfam family: Bacterial small subunit ribosomal RNA
Source: RNAcentral